UGAAAUAAAUGGACAGAAGCUAAUGACUUGUAUAAAUACAGGGAAAAACCUUUGGGAAUAUACAUGAGGAGGAAGAUAACAAGAGGAAGGUGUGCCUAUCUUCAGGUCUAAUAAGACAGAUUUAAAAUAAAAUAAGGACUUAGAAAAUUUAAAUACUAUAAUUAAUAUGCUUGAAUAUGUAUUUAGCCUCUCAUCUAUAAAAAGCGGAUAGGACUUCCUUCCUGUUGUAAUGUUCUUCGGGUAGUAAAAGGAUGCUUCAUCCCAAUAAACAACCCUGCAGGUUGGGGCUAUUUGUUGAGCUUUUGGAAAUUCCAGAGCAUAAUUUCUAGGAGCUGAGCUGUUCAUCCCAGAAUUCUGGACUCAAUCCCAAGGAAAGGACCAAAAUUCCCCUUUGCUUUCAAUUAGAGAAGUGACCUGUGCUCCUGAGUUCCAGCGGCAUGGAGUGUUCUGGGAGGGGCAGCUGGGAUCCUGCCCAGGGUCGGGUCAGCACUGGAAGUCUGGCAGGAAUUCUUCACUGACACAUGAAUGAGAGCGGGUGCCCUUGGUGCUGACUCUUAGCUGGCGACCCUCUUCUCCCUCCUCGGGCUAAGCACGCCCCCUUUGGGGAACAGAAAAGGAACAGAGAGCCGGACUGUGCGGAAAUUCAUCCAUCUGCAGGCGUUGUUAAGGGAACUGCGGCUGAAAUUACGUUUGCGGGUUCCUCCCUUUCCUCUUUGUCAACACCCCCACCCACCUCUUAAGAAAAAGAAAGAAAGAAAGAAAGAAAAAGCUUUGAUUCUUAGUCCAAGUGGGAUCUGAAGGAUUGCGACACCGUCUGUUCACAUCUGCAUCCUCAGUACCUGUCAAUGUCCCUGGCAUUGAGUAGAAGCCCAGAAGAGGUUAAGUGAAUGAAUACAACCGCCAUGUCUUUUGCAACCAAUCAGAAACUGUGUGUCAGCAUUUUCUCAAGUGUCAUCCAUGACACUCAUUGAUGAACCCCACUGAAUCUGCAAAUAAACAAGAAAUAAAUGGAAG
Molecule: long non-coding RNA, 1014 nt
Filed under: Aotus nancymaae (Ma's night monkey)
Lineage: Eukaryota; Metazoa; Chordata; Mammalia; Primates; Aotidae
Description: lncRNA (ENSANAG00000038899.1)
Source: RNAcentral